Molecule: ribosomal RNA, 484 nt
Filed under: uncultured bacterium
Lineage: Bacteria
Description: partial 16S ribosomal RNA
Rfam family: Bacterial small subunit ribosomal RNA
Source: RNAcentral
AUUGAACGCUGGCGGCAGGCCUAACACAUGCAAGUCGAGCGGAUGAAGGGAGCCUGCUCCUGGAUUCAGCGGCGGACGGGUGAGUAAUGCCUAGGAAUCUGCCUGGUAGUGGGGGAUAACGUCCGGAAACGGGCGCUAAUACCGCAUACGUCCUGAGGGAGAAAGUGGGGGAUCUUCGGACCUCACGCUAUCAGAUGAGCCUAGGUCGGAUUAGCUAGUUGGUGGGGUAAAGGCCUACCAAGGCGACGAUCCGUAACUGGUCUGAGAGGAUGAUCAGUCACACUGGAACUGAGACACGGUCCAGACUCCUACGGGAGGCAGCAGUGGGGAAUAUUGGACUAUGGGCGAAAGCCUGAUCCAGCCAUGCCGCGUGUGUGAAGAAGGUCUUCGGAUUGUAAAGCACUUUAAGUUGGGAGGAAGGGCAGUAAGUUAAUACCUUGCUGUUUUGACGUUACCAACAGAAUAAGCACCGGCUAACUUCGUG